AGAGAGAGAGAGUUUGAACUUUCCAUCCUUCUCACCGUCGAUCUACAUCUCUGAACCUCGCCUUCGUUCUUCCGUUCUCCCCUCACCGUCGGCAGCUUGUCAUGAUCCCUUUCUUUCUGCUGUUCGUCCGAUGGCUGAGCGUCGGUCGCGGGUUGAUUUAUAGUGUUGGCUAUUGCGAUUUCGUUUGAGAUAAUGUAAAUGAUCCUGCACCUCUUGCUUAUCACUAAGGGACUUUAUCAUUUUUGCAGACGACGGAAGCACGCUUCACUCAUUUAUUCUACUGUAAAUAUUCAUUAUAUUAUACAAUAAUAGUUAGUGCUCCACGUAUACUGUAGUUAUGUUCUAUUCUUAUUUUAUUGUUGUGAAAUCUACUAGUGUGAAGCUAAAUUCCCCUUCUGGUUUGGCUGACAGUUUUUUGUUUUUUGUUUGUUAUUAUAAGAAUUUUGGGGAAGUCCUAAUUUCAGAGGAAACUUUGCCAAAAUUUUUACAAAAUAGUGAAAACUUUAUAAAUUUUAGAUUUAGAUGU
Long non-coding RNA from Prosopis cineraria, 526 nucleotides. RefSeq lists it as uncharacterized. The record is from RefSeq and is a predicted model, not a curated record. The transcript has 3 exons. Lineage: Eukaryota; Viridiplantae; Streptophyta; Magnoliopsida; Fabales; Fabaceae.